Long non-coding RNA from Cylas formicarius (sweet potato weevil), 1095 nucleotides. RefSeq lists it as uncharacterized. The record is from RefSeq and is a predicted model, not a curated record. The transcript is spliced from 4 exons. Lineage: Eukaryota; Metazoa; Arthropoda; Insecta; Coleoptera; Brentidae.
AUAGACCUUAAUCCGGCAUGGAUAUAUCCACGGUAUAUGCGAUUCUAAUUGGACUAGUUUUCAUACUUUUUGCCGUCAAGUGCAACCAUCCCAGACCAAGGAAUUUUAGGAAGAGCAAUCAUACGUUUGUGUACCCUUGCCCACCCGGUGAACUGUCGCUGAGAGGGAUGUGCAGAAAAGUCAGCGACGAAUACGAUUAAGAUCGCCAUUUAGUUUGAAAAUAGAAAGCUGAAAGUCCAAUGUAAAUGAAACAUAAAUAACAAAUGUUAAUACUGUUCAAAUUGGUGACCUGCAGCAUCAAUACAAUUCUGAGCACGAGUCACCACUGAUUCUGUACAUCGUAUCAAAACGUCCAAUGAGAUUUCUCUACACACUGCUUGAAUCUCAUUCCAAAGAAUGUCUAGGUUAUCUAGGUUACGUGGUUUACGUUUGUACACCUCAUCUUUUACUGUGCCCCACAAGAAGAAAUCCAGUGGUGUAAGGUCUGGAGAGCGUGCUGGAAACUCGAUUGGCCUCCUGCGUCCUAUCCACCGGCUCGACAAAUUUUGAUCCAGUCCGUCAAGACGACAAGUUAGCAGUCGGUCGUCGUCAUGCCUUCGAUAAUAAACGCUUUGGUGAUGUGUUUCCUUGGCCUUUGCAUUUUUUUGGCGCUGACAGCGCAUCCAGUUUUGACAUUUCCCACCAACGACGCCAGCAUCAACGUAGCUACUCCGCCUCCGCCCGUGAAAAGUACGACGCCCUGUAUAUAUGGUUUUGAGUUGGUGAACGGUACGUGCAGGGAGAUAUUCUGAUAACAGAUAUGGACUGUUCGCUCACCUCGAAGAUCUUUCCAUAUUAUUUAUUAAACUAUUUAUUAUAGGCUAGUCAUGGUUGUUGUAUGAUGAAAUGUAUGUUAUACAAGUGUUAAAAAGGAUACUUAAUGCAAAUAGUUGUAUACAUGUCUUAAUUUUUAGCAAGUACGCGUAUUAAUAGAUAAUUUAUAAUAUGAGCGUGUUGCUCGCUUUACCUAUCCUUCAAUAUUUCCGUAGUUCUACGUUAGUAGUUCAGUUUUAUACAAAAAAAAAACGGCUUAAAAUGUAAUAAUAAAAUUCCUAU